AACGAACGCUGGCGGCAUGCCUAACACAUGCAAGUCGAACGAGACCUUCGGGUCUAGUGGCGCACGGGUGCGUAACGCGUGGGAACCUGCCCUUAGGUUCGGAAUAACUCCCCGAAAGGGGUGCUAAUACCGGAUAAUGUCUUCGGACCAAAGAUUUAUCGCCUUUGGAUGGGCCCGCGUUGGAUUAGCUAGUUGGUAGGGUAAAAGCCUACCAAGGCGACGAUCCAUAGCUGGUCUGAGAGGAUGAUCAGCCACACUGGGACUGAGACACGGCCCAGACUCCUACGGGAGGCAGCAGUGGGGAAUAUUGGACUAUGGGCGAAAGCCUGAUCCAGCAAUGCCGCGUGAGUGAUGAAGGCCUUAGGGUUGUAAAGCUCUUUUACCCGGGAUGAUAAUGACAGUACCGGGAGAAUAAGCUCCGGCUAACUCCGUG
RNAcentral lists this ribosomal RNA (433 nucleotides) under uncultured bacterium. Its description in RNAcentral is "partial 16S ribosomal RNA". It matches the Rfam family "Bacterial small subunit ribosomal RNA", at positions 29 to 507 of the family's 1533-position model. The record is from RNAcentral.